Molecule: non-coding RNA, 231 nt
Organism: Cricetulus griseus (Chinese hamster)
Lineage: Eukaryota; Metazoa; Chordata; Mammalia; Rodentia; Cricetidae
Source: RefSeq, a predicted model, not a curated record
ACUGCUGCCACGCCGGCUGGCUAGGUCGCUCUUUCCUGGCCCAGUCUAAGAAACAGUGGCACCUUCAUUCUGAGUGGAUCACCAUACCUCAAUCAACAAUCAAAUCAAUCCCCUAGAGAAUGGAUGUGUUGAUCUCCACACAUCUUCCAAAUCCCAUGAAUUCUUCAGGACUCUAAAUCAUCCAUGGCACUGGGAGUGUCUCCAAGGCAGAAAUCAGAUUUUUCAGUCAAG